Molecule: long non-coding RNA, 1006 nt
Organism: Amblyraja radiata (thorny skate)
Lineage: Eukaryota; Metazoa; Chordata; Chondrichthyes; Rajiformes; Rajidae
Exons: 7
Source: RefSeq, a predicted model, not a curated record
CUUCAAUGCUUUGGUUCAAGAUCUGGCAGCCGACAUCUCGAUGCUGAAAUCCACUUCCACACGAUGCCGAACACUGCAAGAUUUGCAAAGUGGUGUUCUGCAAACCCUCAUCAACAUGAUGCAAGACCAAGAAGAUACAGAUCCAUUCAUAAGGAGCAAAGGAGUUAGACCAGACGAAUAUAUGGAGAUGAAAGCACCUUGUGUUUCCUCCGCAGAGUUGCUAACAAAAGACUAUGGAUUCUAAUCACUAUGUACCUGGAAUGACCGCAGGGAAAGUUAUGGAUGAAAGCCUCGUUGACUGGAGUUGCUGUGCGCUAUCUGCUUAACCUCCGAAUAACCUUCAACACAGAUAGCCACAUCUCUGUUCAAGAAGGAACUGCAGAUGCUGGAAAUUGAAGAGUGACCGUGUAGAGGAACGUCAUCACUUCACCACCAAUUGCCACAGGUGGAACCUCUCUGCUAUUUGAGCGUCUGCUAUGUAAGGCCACACUGACUUUGGAAUAGACAGUAGGCAGUCAGAAACUUUUGCCCAGCCAAAUACAGGGCAUAACUUUAAGAUACCACUGAAUAAAUCCAGCAACUGCCGUUUGCAUUUCCAAUUUACAGUAAGGCAGAAUGCAAAUAGAUGUCAAUCGGAAGAGACGACUGAAGUCUGAAUGGGUGGCGUCUUCAGGCUGAGAGUCAGGGGAGGGGGAAACUAGAGUUUACAAAAGAUCCAGAGUCCAAACAGGUUGCAGGAGGUGCCUCAAAUAUUGAACAGCUUGACACAAGGAUGAGCGGAAAAGUUCAGAGAGAUGUCACCAGACACACAGAGGGUGUGUGUGGCUGGGCUUUUAAGUUCACCCUGGUCACUUCACCAUCCGGGAUGAAGAUUUCAGUCUUCAACUGAGCGAGAUCAUCCACUGAAAACUGGCAGUGAUUCGUGCUAUUGAGGGAGUACAGCGUAGGUUUACAAGGUUAAUUCCCGGGAUGUCUGGACUGUCAUAUGCUGAGAGAAUGGAGCGGC